GCAUGGCCGAAUUCUGUUCCAGCUGUUCCGUGGUGGAUACAGUCAGACACCAUGCAAAAGCCUUGACUCAUAUCUGCUUCGUCACUGUAUGAGUGCUUCCCUCAGCCUCAUGCAACUGUACAGGAAUGAGCACAACG
Molecule: small nucleolar RNA, 137 nt
Organism: Chelmon rostratus (copperband butterflyfish)
Lineage: Eukaryota; Metazoa; Chordata; Actinopteri; Chaetodontiformes; Chaetodontidae
Product: small nucleolar RNA SNORA15
Exons: 1
Source: RefSeq, a predicted model, not a curated record